This 481-nucleotide ribosomal RNA is filed under the name uncultured bacterium. Its description in RNAcentral is "partial 16S ribosomal RNA". It matches the Rfam family "Bacterial small subunit ribosomal RNA", at positions 28 to 507 of the family's 1533-position model. The record is from RNAcentral.
GAUGAACGCUGGCGGCGUGCUUAACACAUGCAAGUCGAACGAAGCAUUUGCGACAGAUUUUGUCGGAAUGAAGUUGCUUAUGACUGAGUGGCGGACGGGUGAGUAACGCGUGGGUAACCUGCCUUGUACUGGGGGAUAGCAGCUGGAAACGGCUGGUAAUACCGCAUAAGCGCACAAUGUUGCAUGACAUGGUGGGAAAAACUCCGGUGGUAUAAGAUGGACCCGCGUCUGAUUAGCUAGUUGGUGAGAUAACAGCCUACCAAGGCGACGAUCAGUAGCCGACCUGAGAGGGUGACCGGCCACAUUGGGACUGAGACACGGCCCAGACUCCUACGGGAGGCAGCAGUGGGGAAUAUUGCACAAUGGAGGAAACUCUGAUGCAGCGACGCCGCGUGAGUGAAGAAGUAAUUCGUUAUGUAAAGCUCUAUCAGCAGGGAAGAUAGUGACGGUACCUGACUAAGAAGCCCCGGCUAACUACGUG